This 515-nucleotide ribosomal RNA is filed under the name uncultured bacterium. RNAcentral describes it as "bacterial SSU rRNA". It matches the Rfam family "Bacterial small subunit ribosomal RNA", at positions 15 to 518 of the family's 1533-position model. The record is from RNAcentral.
GAUCCUGGCUUAGGAUGAACGCUAGCUACAGGCUUAACACAUGUCAAGUCGAGGGCAGCAUGGUCUUAGCUUGCUAAGACUGAUGGCGACCGGCGCACGGGUGAGUAACGCGUAUCCAACCUGGCCCUUAGUAGGGAACAGCCCGGCGAAAGUCGGAUUAAUGCCCUAUGUUUUCCAAUGAUGGCAUCUGACUUGGAACAAAGAUUCAUCGCUAAGGGAUGGGGAUGCGUCUGAUUAGCUUGUCGGCGGGGUAACGGCCCACCGAGGCGACGAUCAGUAGGGGUUCUGAGAGGAAGGUCCCCCACAUUGGUACUGAGACACGGACCAAACUCCUACGGGAGGCAGCAGUGAGGAAUAUUGGUCAAUGGGCGCGAGCCUGAACCAGCCAAGUAGCGUGCCAGGAAGACUGCCCUAUGGGUUGUAAACUGCUUUUAUGCGGGAAUAAAGUCAGGUACGCGUACCUGUUUGUAUGUACCGCAUGAAUAAGGACCGGCUAAUUCCGUGCCAGCCGCUGC